This 775-nucleotide ribosomal RNA is filed under the name uncultured Neocallimastigales. RNAcentral's name for it is "partial large subunit ribosomal RNA". It matches the Rfam family "Eukaryotic large subunit ribosomal RNA", at positions 22 to 643 of the family's 3401-position model. The record is from RNAcentral. Lineage: Eukaryota; Fungi; Neocallimastigomycota; Neocallimastigomycetes; Neocallimastigales.
CAUAGCGACUAUCGUGGCAUAUCAAUAAGCGGAGGAAAAGAAACUAACAAGGAUUCCCUUAGUAACGGCGAGUGAAGCGGGAAGAGCUCAAAUUUGAAAUCUUCAAGGUUCUACCUUGACGAAUUGUAGUUUAUAGAAGUGUUUUCUGUUAGUAGAGUGGCAAAAGUUCUUUGGAAUAGGACAUCAUAGAGGGUGAGAAUCCCGUAUUUGGUCAUUCUUUCUAGCUUUGUGAUACACUUUCAACGAGUCGGAUUGUUUGGGAAUGCAGUCCAAAAUGGGUGGUAAAUUUCAUCUAAAGCUAAAUAUUGGCGAGAGACCGAUAGCGAACAAGUACCGUGAGGGAAAGAUGAAAAGAACUUUGAAAAGAGAGUUAAACAGUACGUGAAAUUGUCAAAAGGGAAGCGUUUGACACCAGUGUUGUUUUUCCGAAAAUCAAUUACGAAUGUUUUAUUUUUGAGAAGUUAUGACUUCAUCGGCUUGCUCCUUUCUUUAUGAAACUUUCUUAAUGCACUUUUCGGUUAACAAGUCAACAUCAAUUUCUUUUGUUGUAAAAGGGUAUGAGGAAGGUGGCUUUCUUUUCGGAGAAAGUGUUUAUAGCCUUGUACCUCUGCAAUCGGAGAGAUUGAGGUCUGCAGCGUAGAUCCUUCGGGGUUAGAUACAUUUGUGCUAAGUUAUAGCUUUUCAUAGGACAACUUGUUGACUAUGUUUAGUCUUGUAGCUUACUCGCUUAUGCUAUUUUACCUACGCUUAGGAUGUUGAUAUGCAUGACUGAUAU